Molecule: small nucleolar RNA, 106 nt
Organism: Arachis duranensis
Lineage: Eukaryota; Viridiplantae; Streptophyta; Magnoliopsida; Fabales; Fabaceae
Source: RefSeq, a predicted model, not a curated record
AUGCGAUGAUGAGGGCAAAACUCAAGCAACUUCUCAAAAUGUUUCCAAUAUUCAUAAAGUGUCUCUCCAUCUUUUUGCAUAAUACAAGAAAUCUUUUUCCUCAAAU